This 252-nucleotide ribosomal RNA is filed under the name uncultured bacterium. RNAcentral's name for it is "partial 16S ribosomal RNA". It matches the Rfam family "Bacterial small subunit ribosomal RNA", at positions 525 to 776 of the family's 1533-position model. The record is from RNAcentral.
ACGGAGGAUGCGAGCGUUAUCCGGAUUUAUUGGGUUUAAAGGGAGCGCAGACGGGAUGUUAAGUCAGCUGUGAAAGUUUGGGGCUCAACCUUAAAAUUGCAGUUGAUACUGGCUUUCUUGAGUGCGGUUGAGGUUAGCGGAAUUCGUGGUGUAGCGGUGAAAUGCUUAGAUAUCACGAAGAACUCCGAUUGCGAAGGCAGCUAACUAAGCCGUAACUGACGUUCAUGCUCGAAAGUGUGGGUAUCAAACAGG